This 440-nucleotide ribosomal RNA is filed under the name uncultured bacterium. Its description in RNAcentral is "partial 16S ribosomal RNA". It matches the Rfam family "Bacterial small subunit ribosomal RNA", at positions 338 to 795 of the family's 1533-position model. The record is from RNAcentral.
CCUACGGGUGGCAGCAGUAGGGAAUAUUGCUCAAUGGGGGAAACCCGGAAGCAGCAACGCCGCGUGGAGGAUGAAGGUUUUCGGAUUGUAAACUCCUUUUGUUAGAGAAGAUAAUGAAGGUACCCCAAUAGCAAGCCACGGCUAACUACGUGCCAGAAGCCGCGGUAAUACGUAGGUGGCAAGCGUUAUACGGAAUGACUGGGCGUAAAGGGUGCGAAGGUGGUUUAGUAAGUUGGCGGUGUAAUUCCGGGGCUCAACCUCGGCGCUACCGCCAAAACUAUUAGACUAGAGGGCAGGAGGGGUAAGUGGAAUUCCUAGUGUAGCGGUGGAAUGCGUAGAUAUUAGGAGGAACAUCAGGGGCGAAGGCGACUUACUGGACUGUAACUGACACUGAGGCACGAAAGCGUGGGGAGCAAACAGGAUUAGAUACCCGUGUAGUC